Molecule: long non-coding RNA, 1182 nt
Organism: Triticum aestivum (bread wheat)
Lineage: Eukaryota; Viridiplantae; Streptophyta; Magnoliopsida; Poales; Poaceae
Exons: 2
Source: RefSeq, a predicted model, not a curated record
UAAAACUUCCCCGACCCGAAGACAAAUACAGAAAAUGCCCCAACACUCAUCAUCUCUGACACAACCCUGAUGAGAUCCUCGCCGCCAUGACCUCCUCCCCCGCGCGCCACCCCCGGGCUCCCCUCGGCGCGCCGCCCCCGGGCUACCCUCCGGCGCGUCGCCGCCCGGCUCUCUCCCCCACACCAGCCUCUCCUUCCCUGCGCCAGCCACCUCCCCGACCCACGCGCGGCCCCCCUCCUUCCCCGCGCCGGCCACCUCCCUGCCCCGCGCGCCGGCCGCUCCUUCCCCCGCGCCGACCGCCUCUCUCCACUGCGCGCCACCCUCCUCCUUCUGAUGCGCUGACGGUCGCCAUCUCCUUUUCCUGACCUGCCGGACGUCGCCUCCUUCCCAGAUCCCACUGCCGCCCCGCAAUACAACCGGCGCCGCGGCUGUCGCCCCGCACCAGAUCCAUGCGCCGCUGCCGCUCUACCACCGUGUGCAGGCAGUUCAACGUGCAACCACUGGCCGUUCAAGCUCUCCGCCGUGGACACGCCCCUCCACCUCCUUCUGGUUGCCUCUCAUCCUGGUGUGGCCAGGGCGUUGGCUUCGCUGCUGCUGCGACCGACAGUCCAACCCGGCCGCCCCAGGUCGUUCACCCGUCGCAGCUCCCAGGCUGAUUGUGUCGAGCCACCUUCCGCCCGCACCUUGGGCUCCCAUAUGCGUCCCCUACCCCAGCUGGUGCACAUGUCCCUGCCCACCGCUGGUGCCCUACUGUCCAGAAGUUUGAUGAAUUGUACACUCGUCAGUCUGUGUGUUGUUAUUCAGUUCCACUAGAUGUGUGUGACAAAUUGGUUUACUUUCUCAGUCCAGCUAGUCUUCCUCUUUAAGUUCGGGCUUCGCUCACCUGUUCGCGCUCGACAGAAUCGAGCUCUUCCAUGGUUCGCAGUCCAACUGCUAGCUCCGCCUCCGAUCGUCUCUUGCUCUGCAGCUGUAUCCGGCUAGGCUGUUCAUGCGACGACCUCCUCUUCCAGGUUGCCGAAAAACAGGAUGUAACAUUUAUGAAAAAAGAGAUGAAUUUAGAGGAAGAUGCAGCACUGGAACGCAGAAGACUCAGUUCACAAAAAAAACACUGAAAAAAUAGCAGGAACAGGCAGCAGAUUACAAAAAUGAAGAUAUAAUAAAGUUCUGAAAAAUGCUAUGAAA